UUUUCUAGUGUAUCAAACUCUUCAAUUGAAAUAGCUGGUGAAUAAAGUUAUUUAUUGGGUCUAUCCCAGUUUUUUGAGAUGGUAAAGAAAAGGAAAAAUAUGAAUGCAAUAACGGUUGAAUUUGUGAAGCAGACUGCCAUUCUGAUGGAAACACUAUCUGUUUAACUGGCAAGUCAUCUAGUUGAUCCACUGAGACAGAGACAGCCAGAAAGAUCAAAAAUAAGAAAGCCUUUUUUUGAUUUAAGAGAGACUGGUACAAAAGGUUUUGAAAUUUGGAUUUUUAAGGCACCGUAAGGCUUUGGAAUUAAGUGUUGCUAAGUGUAAAGUUAUGCACCUUGUUCAUGGAAAUAUAAAUCAUGAAUAUGUAAUGAAUGAUGGUAAUACAUCUCUUAUUAUAGCGGCAACGGAUAUUGAAAGAGACCUGUAUCUUUUAUCUAACAAUUUAUAAUGGAAUCAACACAUACAGGUUGCGACACGUAGAGCAAAUAUGAUACUUGGCCUACUAAAAAAAAACAUUUAGAUCAAGAUAUAUGAAACUUUGAGGUAAGCUAUAUACUACAUAUGUUACACCGCACCUGGAAUUCACUACUCCGGUAUGGUGUCCUUACUUAAAGGGGGACAUCAAAGAUAUUGAAAAAAAUCAGCACAAAGCAACAAAAGUUCCUCAUGAUAUCUAAAAGGUGUCGGCGUCUCAAUUUUAUCUCUUUGGAAACUCGCAGGCGACGUCGCGACUUGAUCUAACAGUCUACACUCGAAAACAUUUUUAAAUUAAUAAUUGGCAUAACCCACCACUUCGCAGAUCACCAUCCAACGCAUUAACGCGUAAUUUCACUCACAAUAAUGCUCGACAUAAUUUUUUUACAAAUGGUAUUGUGAAUGAUUGGAAUUAGUUACCGUGCAAAAAGGCUCCGUCAAUUAACGCAUUCAAAAGUAGAAUUGACAAGCAUUUUUUUCCAACAGCUGCAAACUAUGCAACUUUUAUUAAAGAUGUGCUGCACGUUUAAUUUAAUUACUUCAUCCUUUAGCAGCUACAAAUAUUGACAUUUUAGAUACAUUUAUCUUAAAAAUAAACUGCAAUUAAAUAAAAAAAAAUUUAAAAAGUGA
Molecule: long non-coding RNA, 1104 nt
Organism: Hydra vulgaris (swiftwater hydra)
Lineage: Eukaryota; Metazoa; Cnidaria; Hydrozoa; Anthoathecata; Hydridae
Source: RefSeq, a predicted model, not a curated record